This is a long non-coding RNA of Homarus americanus (American lobster), 682 nucleotides long. RefSeq lists it as uncharacterized. The record is from RefSeq and is a predicted model, not a curated record. NCBI's taxonomy places the organism in Eukaryota, Metazoa, Arthropoda, Malacostraca, Decapoda, Nephropidae. The transcript has 5 exons.
CUGAGACACGAGAGAAACCUUUCACUAAGGCACCAGUUGAUUCUACCUGUCUGGGCAGUUUAUUGUGAAGGUGGUGUGAUGGAAGUGAUAAAGGAUUAUUUCUCCGCUGUUGCACCAUACAAGAUCAAGUCGAUGGAGUUAAGGUUGUGAUGCGUGGUGAGAGUGGUGAAGCCUUUGUGGGUGGUGGUGGUGGUGUGGGUGUAGCGAGCGAUGAGGUGGCCAGUGGCCACACGUGACGGCAGGGAGCCGAAGGACUACACAACAGAGACGGUGGAAUUCACAACCAGUCCUCUCGCCUUGAAGACUGACAGACUGAAAUGUAAUGGAGUGUGUUUUGUGGAGUUUAGAGGAGGUGAUGGAAGGUCUUCAGUCAGCAACUUACUUACUUACUCCAACAUAUAAACCAGAUUGUGCGCCUCCGAGGUGAACGUCUGACUGGUCAAGAACGCCUCCAAACAGGUAAAGUACUUAUGACAAUAUAUAAUGUCUAUAUGCAAGUAUUUAUGAAUGUUAUGUUUUAAAGUUUUUUGUAUUCCAGGUUUGUUUGUGUGGCUGACUGGACCUACUACAAGGUGCUUCUUGGAGGUAAUAAAGAUACAUCAGUGAUGGUGAGUCCGUCACAUUACCAGCGGUUGUGGAUUUCUCAAUUCAACCUUUAUAUUGCAGACUCCACAUAAGGCGA